UUUUUAAAAUUAACCAAUGAAGACCUCGGGGACAUUGUGAAUAAACCAAGAGCAUCUUCACAUAAUAAAAGUGUCAAAAUUCAAGGAUCAACUAUCAGACAAGGACCAGGGGCAUGUGGGUUCAAAUUUCGGCAAAAAGAUUUAACAAAUAGAACGAGAGAAAACUCAGUGACGAAGCGACAUCAAGAGAACACAGUAUUGAGGUUGUCACCUGGUCAAAUGGAGCAUGUAAUUUGUAACUCGAGAGCCAGCUCUUUUGUAAAAGUGAGGAGUGUGGGCCGGCCAUUUUUCAUCGCACCCUACUCGUGAAUAAAUUCUCCAAGUGCAAUGAAAAAUUUCUUUCUUGUCGAUUUUUACUUGCCAAAAAGAACAAUAUAGUGCAGUUUUCCAGAAAUAAAUUAGAAUUCCAAUUCUGUGAUAAAGGUAUAAUGGGGCCCGGUUAAUCUUUUGAGAAGCUGAAUAAAACACGAAUUUCUAUUGUCGAUCUUUCCUUACAGAUGGAUGGCAGAAACAUUAAUUCCUCUUUUGUGCUUUCAAUAUAAUCACUUUGGCUUCCCCUUCUAUUCUUAAUCCACUUUUACACUUCUUCGUGUGCACUUCAAUCUAUCCGAGUCCCUUGCCCCAUCUGUUUACGAGUAGAGUUGGAGGAAAGAAAAAAAGGUAAAAAGAUGUAAAUGGUCCAGAGCCGUUGCAGAGACUGACGGGGAAACAGAAAA
Long non-coding RNA from Ostrea edulis (European flat oyster), 716 nucleotides. RefSeq lists it as uncharacterized. The transcript has 3 exons. NCBI's taxonomy places the organism in Eukaryota, Metazoa, Mollusca, Bivalvia, Ostreida, Ostreidae. The record is from RefSeq and is a predicted model, not a curated record.